RNAcentral lists this ribosomal RNA (464 nucleotides) under uncultured bacterium. RNAcentral describes it as "bacterial SSU rRNA". It matches the Rfam family "Bacterial small subunit ribosomal RNA", at positions 38 to 518 of the family's 1533-position model. The record is from RNAcentral.
GGCGGCGUGCCUAACACAUGCAAGUCGAGCGAGGAGAUUCCUUCGGGAUGAUCCUAGCGGCGGACGGGUGAGUAACACGUGGGCAACCUGCCUCAUAGAGAGGAAUAGCCUUCCGAAAGGGAGAUUAAUACCUCAUAACAUCGCAGUUUCGCAUGGAACAGCAAUUAAAGGAGCAAUCCACUAUGAGAUGGGCCCGCGGCGCAUUAGCUAGUUGGUGAGGUAACGGCUCACCAAGGCGACGAUGCGUAGCCGACCUGAGAGGGUGAUCGGCCACAUUGGGACUGAGACACGGCCCAGACUCCUACGGGAGGCAGCAGUGGGGAAUAUUGCACAAUGGGGGAAACCCUGAUGCCAGCAACGCCGCGUGAGUGAUGACGGCCUUCGGGUUGUAAAGCUCUGUCUUCAGGGACGAUAAUGACGGUACCUGAGGAGGAAGCCACGGCUAACUACGUGCCAGCCGCGGC